AACGCACCUUGCGCUCCGUGGUAUUCCGCGGAGCAUGCCUGUUUGAGUGUCGCGCCCCCCUCUCAACCCCGUUGGCGUUAUGCGCUCGACGCGGGCUUGGAUCCUGGCCGGUUCGCCUUUGUAAGGCGACGGCCGAAAGACCUUGCGCCUCUGGCGGCACGCGGUCUGACCGGAACGUUGUACGCACCUCGUUCUCGGGACGCAUGCCCUGUUGGGCUGCGAAUCGCGCACUCUAGUGACCUCGACCUCAAAUCAGGCAGGACGACCCGCUGAACUUAA
RNAcentral lists this unclassified non-coding RNA (279 nucleotides) under uncultured fungus. Its description in RNAcentral is "partial contains 5.8S ribosomal RNA, internal transcribed spacer 2, and large subunit ribosomal RNA". The stretch from base 1 to 52 matches the Rfam family "5.8S ribosomal RNA", at positions 103 to 154 of the family's 154-position model. Lineage: Eukaryota; Fungi. The record is from RNAcentral.